GGUCUCCUACUUUGGGGUGAUCGAUCAUGGGGCUCCAUGAUUGAUCACCCUGCAGAGGGAGGCC
RNAcentral lists this microRNA precursor (64 nucleotides) under Myotis lucifugus (little brown bat). Its description in RNAcentral is "mir-9242 microRNA precursor family". It matches the Rfam family "mir-9242 microRNA precursor family". The record is from Rfam by way of RNAcentral. Lineage: Eukaryota; Metazoa; Chordata; Mammalia; Chiroptera; Vespertilionidae.